Molecule: ribosomal RNA, 425 nt
Filed under: uncultured bacterium
Lineage: Bacteria
Description: bacterial SSU rRNA
Rfam family: Bacterial small subunit ribosomal RNA
Source: RNAcentral
GGGGAAUAUUGGACAAUGGGCGCAAGCCUGAUCCAGCCAUGCCGCGUGUGUGAAGAAGGUCUUCGGAUUGUAAAGCACUUUAAUUUGGGAGGAAGGGCAGUUAACGAAUACUUAACUGUUUUGACGUUACCAAAAGAAUAAGCACCGGCUAACUUCGUGCCAGCAGCCGCGGUAAUACGAAGGGUGCAAGCGUUAAUCGGAAUUACUGGGCGUAAAGCGCGCGUAGGUGGUUCGUUAAGUUGGAAGUGAAAGCCCCGGGCUCAACCUGGGAAUUGCUUUCAAAACUGGCGAGCUAGAGUACGGUAGAGGGUGGUGGAAUUUCCUGUGUAGCGGUGAAAUGCGUAGAUAUAGGAAGGAACAUCAGUGGCGAAGGCGACCACCUGGACUGAUACUGACACUGAGGUGCGAAAGCGUGGGGAGCAAAC